UACGUAGGUGGCGAGCGUUAUCCGGAAUGAUUGGGCGUAAAGGGAACGCAGGCGGUCUUUUAAGUCUGAUGUGAAAGCCUUCGGCUUAACCGGAGUAGUGCAUUGGAAACUGGGAGACUUGAGUGCAGAAGAGGAGAGUGGAACUCCAUGUGUAGCGGUGAAAUGCGUAGAUAUAUGGAAGAACACCAGUGGCGAAAGCGGCUCUCUGGUCUGUAACUGACGCUGAGGUUCGAAAGCGUGGGUAGCAAACAGG
Molecule: ribosomal RNA, 253 nt
Filed under: uncultured bacterium
Lineage: Bacteria
Description: partial 16S ribosomal RNA
Rfam family: Bacterial small subunit ribosomal RNA
Source: RNAcentral